RNAcentral lists this ribosomal RNA (301 nucleotides) under uncultured bacterium. Its description in RNAcentral is "partial 16S ribosomal RNA". It matches the Rfam family "Bacterial small subunit ribosomal RNA", at positions 509 to 807 of the family's 1533-position model. The record is from RNAcentral.
CAGUCGCCGCGGGAAUACGAAGGGGGCUAGCGUUGCUCGGAAUGACUGGGCGUAAAGGGCGCGUAGGCGGCGGCCAAAGUCAGGCGUGAAAUUCCCGGGGCUCAACCCCGGAACUGCAUCCGAUACUGCCAUGCUAGAGGAUUGGAGAGGUAGCUGGAAUUCUUGGUGUAGCAGUGAAAUGCGUGGAGAUCAAGAGGAACACUCGUGGCGAAAGCGAGCUACUGGACAAUAACUGACGCUGAGGCUCGAAGGCCAGGGUAGCGAAAGGGAUUAGAUACCCCCGUAGUCCCUGUCUCUUAUU